Molecule: ribosomal RNA, 497 nt
Filed under: uncultured bacterium
Lineage: Bacteria
Description: partial 16S ribosomal RNA
Rfam family: Bacterial small subunit ribosomal RNA
Source: RNAcentral
GAUGAACGCUGGCGGCGUGCCUAAUACAUGCAAGUCGAGCGAACAGACGAGGAACUUGCUCCUCUGACGUUAGCGGCGGACGGGUGAGUAAAACGUGGAUAACCUACCUAUAAGACUGGGAUAAAUUCGGGAAACCGGAGCUAAUACCGGAUAAUAUAUUGAACCGCAUGGUUCAAUAGUGAAAGACGGUUUUGCUGUCACUUAUAGAUGGAUCCGCGUGGCAUUAGCUAGUUGGUGGGGUAACGGCUUACCAAGGCAACGAUCCGUAGACGACCUGAGAGGAUGACAAGGCACAGUGGAACUGAGACACGGUCCAGACUCCUACGGGAGGCAGCAGUGGGGAAUAUUGCACAAUGGGCGAAAGCCUGAUGGAGCAAUGCAGAGUGUAUGAAGAAGGCCUUCGGGUUGUAAAGUACUUUCAGAGGGGAGGAAGGGAGUAAAGUUAAUACCUGUGCUCAUUGACGUUACCCGCAGAAGAAGCAACGGCUAACUACGUG